Molecule: long non-coding RNA, 1255 nt
Filed under: Homo sapiens (human)
Lineage: Eukaryota; Metazoa; Chordata; Mammalia; Primates; Hominidae
Description: HSALNT0332964
Source: RNAcentral
GGGAGAGAGAGAGAAAAAGAAAAGGAAGGAAGGAAGAAAGAAAGAGAGAAACUAGAAAACAAAGCAAGUGCUAAUAAACGGGUAUAGGCCAGUUUAUCUUGAUGUGCAUGAAGUCACCUGGCAAUUGGAUGAAAUGCAGAAGAGGCUUGGGAUUCUGCAUCUUUAACAAGCCCCCAAGUGAUGUUGAUAUUGCUAACCCUGAACUGCACUUUGAAUAAAGAGAAUCUUGACCACAGAGUACCAAGGAAAGCAUAAACCUCUUUAGGUUUAGAACUGAUGAAUGAGCACUUAAAAUAGCGACUUGGACCAUUGGAACUUUUAUUUUGCGUCUUCUCUAAAAAAAUAAUCGUUACUUGCUGGAAAAAAAUCUGAAGGUACUUUUUCAGAUAGGAGGAUGCCAAGAGAAGAAAAGCAUUUUCUCUGUCUUCAAAGAGGAAAAGAUGAGCAUAGUGAAUUUCGGGUGUUGUAUUUAUUCAGCUUGGACGUUUAAAAGAUACUUGGCUUUCCCAUACUAUCUUGACAUGCAUUUUGCUGUUACUUCUACCUGGGAUGCUGGCACUGCCCACCACACACUGUUGAAGACUCAGUUCAGGAAUUGUUAGGAGUUCUAGAAGAGGGAUGGAAUGCAAACAACAACUCCCUUUCUCUCCAGGAAGAAGAGACCUGAAGCCCACGAUUGUGGUUUUUGAAGACUGAGCUCUCUGCCCUUGCGUAAGGAGGUCCAAGAUUUCUCCUUGAUAAAAAUGUGGACUGAAAUGCUAGUUAAAAGAAGCAAUUAGGGCUUUUGGUAUAGAGAAAUAUUUGGAAGCUGAAGAGACUGAGGUGGACUGGAAAAGAUUUGGAGAUGCCAAACAUCACAACUCAGAGACAGGAAAGUGGUCUGAAAAUAUAGCAGCUGCCUGGAGGUGCCAGGUGAGUGGGCUUGGAGAAGAGCCACGAUGAGGGCCACUGUUGGAGUCAUACUGAAGAAACUCUUCACAGCCUUCCCCAGAGGACUAUGCAGUUAAGCGGCAAUUCUGCCUCAUGUAGACAAAUAAUCAUGGAAGGUGAUUCGCAGCCUGUGAUCAACUUCUUUUUUAUCCCAGCAAAAAUAAGUGAUUCCUGAAAAUUAUCAAAAUAAUCAAACACAAGGAGAGUCUGAGAAACUGUCACAGCCAAGAGGAAUCUUAAGGUGACAUGAUGGCUAAAGGCAAUGUGGUACUCUAAAUGGGAUCUUGCAAAAGAAAAAGAACAUUGGGGGAAAACUACAGAAAUC